GUAAUGGUGGUUUGCUGGUAGAAUUCUUGCUUUUCAUGCAGGAGACCGGGGUUCAAUUCCUGGCCAGUGCA
Molecule: transfer RNA, 71 nt
Filed under: Loxodonta africana (African savanna elephant)
Lineage: Eukaryota; Metazoa; Chordata; Mammalia; Proboscidea; Elephantidae
Rfam family: tRNA
About the family: Transfer RNA (tRNA) molecules are approximately 80 nucleotides in length. Their secondary structure includes four short double-helical elements and three loops (D, anti-codon, and T loops). Further hydrogen bonds mediate the characteristic L-shaped molecular structure. tRNAs have two regions of fundamental functional importance: the anti-codon, which is responsible for specific mRNA codon recognition, and the 3' end, to which the tRNAs corresponding amino acid is attached (by aminoacyl-tRNA synthetases). tRNAs cope with the degeneracy of the genetic code in two manners: having more than one tRNA (with a specific anti-codon) for a particular amino acid; and 'wobble' base-pairing, i.e. permitting non-standard base-pairing at the 3rd anti-codon position.
Source: Rfam by way of RNAcentral